RNAcentral lists this ribosomal RNA (893 nucleotides) under uncultured bacterium. RNAcentral's name for it is "bacterial SSU rRNA". It matches the Rfam family "Bacterial small subunit ribosomal RNA", at positions 28 to 897 of the family's 1533-position model. RNAcentral also lists the same sequence under 1 other name. The record is from RNAcentral.
GACGAACGCUGGCGGCGUGCCUAAGACAUGCAAGUCGAGCGGGGCUUCGGGGCUUCGGCCCUGAAGCCCAGCGGCGGACGGGUGAGUAACACGUGGAUAACCUGCCCUCUGCUCUGGGAUAACAGGCCGAAAGGCCUGCUAAUACCGGAUAAGCUCACGGUCCCGCAUGGGGCUGGGAGAAAAGGCGCUGGAGUCAGUGGCGCUGGCAGAGGAGGGGUCCGCGGCCCAUUAGCUGGUUGGCGGGGUAACGGCCCACCAAGGCGACGAUGGGUAGCCGGCCUGAGAGGGCGACCGGCCACACUGGGACUGAGACACGGCCCAGACUCCUACGGGAGGCAGCAGUCGGGAAUUUUGCACAAUGGCCGAAAGGCUGAUGCAGCAACGCCGCGUGAGCGAAGAAGGCCUUCGGGUUGUAAAGCUCUGUUGCCUGCGAAGAAGGGCCCCGUCAGGAAAUGGGCGGGGUUUGACGGUAGCAGGCGAGGAAGCCCCGGCAAACUACGUGCCAGCAGCCGCGGUAAUACGUAGGGGGCGAGCGUUGUCCGGAAUUACUGGGCGUAAAGGGCGUGUAGGCGGCCUGUUAAGUCAGGGGUGAAAGACCGGGGCUCAACCCCGGGGGUGCCUCUGAAACUGGCGGGCUUGAGUGCUCUAGAGGGCAGUGGAAUUCCCGGUGUAGCAGUGAAAUGCGUAGAGAUCGGGAGGAACACCAGUGGCGAAGGCGGCUGCCUGGGGAGUCACUGACGCUGAGGCGCGAAAGCUAGGGGAGCAAACAGGAUUAGAUACCCUGGUAGUCCUAGCCGUAAACGAUGAGUGCUAUGUGUGAGGGGUAUCGACCCCCCUCGUGCAGGAGCUAACGCACUAAGCACUCCGCCUGGGGAGUACGGCCGCAAGGUUGA